This is a long non-coding RNA of Myotis brandtii (Brandt's bat), 2289 nucleotides long. RefSeq lists it as uncharacterized. The transcript is spliced from 2 exons. The record is from RefSeq and is a predicted model, not a curated record. NCBI's taxonomy places the organism in Eukaryota, Metazoa, Chordata, Mammalia, Chiroptera, Vespertilionidae.
AAAGAAAAAAGAGUGUGCAGACUCAACUUAAAUGGGUAUGAAGUUAUGUUCUAGUCAGUCAGGCUUAUAUACCAGACCCUAUUUAGUCACCUGCAACACCAAAGUCAAGCCUUUUUGUUUUAAGAAGGAUAAGAAUCAUUUACACUAAUAAUAAGAAGUCUUUAAUAUUAACUUGAUUCUAUGUAAGAAUUUUCUGGCUCUGAAGUUAAAAAAAAAUGAAGAGAAGUCACUAGUGUGUCAUCUGUUUCUAAUAUAAAGGGUCACUUUUUCCACUAAGUGAGUUAGAGGAGAAAAAUAAAAUUUCAAACUGAGCAAAAGAAAACAAGUGAAGAAAAACUCCAUAGCUUAAUUAAAUGGCAAGGUUAGAAAGUAUGAGUUUAUAUCCUGGUAAGCAAUAUCAACCAAGCUAGUUUAGUCGCGAAGUAGAAAGUAUUAAUUCCCAUUAGUCCUCCUUUAAUCCAGCAUCACAGGUUAUGAAAAUGUUCCAGAUAAAUGAAUUUCUAGGCAAAUAAAGCAAAGAAAUGUGUCUAAGGCAGCGGUCGCCAACCGGUGGUCCGCAGACCACCGGUGGUCCGUGAGGUCCGAAAGGUUGGCGACCACUGGUCUAAGGUACCAACGACUAUGAGUAGGGACAUUUCUAUCUCUCAACUUAAACUUAUAAGCAUCAAUUAAAAGUAAUUUUUAAAAAUGUGUUUCUGAUAGACAUUAUAGAAAAAUGUCUAUAGAAAAGUGAAACAAACUACUUCCUGCUCUGAAAAACAGUUCACAGUAUAUAAUUUUCAGAUGCACUAACUAGCCCUCAAAAACACAGGUGAGGUUAAUGGGAAAUGCAGUAUGGUGUGCCCCUACUUAAAUGCCCCCGGAGGCAGGAAUUCUAGACUGGUUCCACUUCUAGAUAUUGCAUCUUACAUGCAAGCUGGGCUCCCAGUCAAAGAGCAAAGACUGUUCUGCUGCUGGCUGUGCCUUUGUCUCGGCCUCCGCUGCCAUCUCUGAAGAUUGUGGAAGAAAGAAAGACAAGGGCUGAGUAUAAAAUAAAUAUACCAUGGGUCUGCCAUACUGGAAAGGUUUCUCCUCUUCCCUAAACAUAGACCAUGAGGCUGGAAAGUUUCUAACCCUUUCUGCCUAUAUCCUAGAAAUUCCUCAAUAAAGGAUACACCUUGAUAUGGUGCUUCUGAAUAAUGCAAUUACCUUGGAGUUUAUCAUUAUGCAUCCCAAAAGGUAAAGAACUAAGAAGGGUAAAAAUGUAUAAAAACAUUAGUCAGAAGAGGUGGGGGUAAGGGGCUUAGGGUCAGCAGAAAAGUCACUAGAAAAUGGGGAGAAAGAUAUGUGUACAGAGAAGGAGGUAAAAUAUGAAAGGGGCGCCUUAUUACCUACCAAAGUCCCCAGAACAAGUCCAGAUAAUAUACCAGAGAGUGAAUUAAGGAGUAAGAUUCAUGGACUUCAUGACAGCUUUUUUGUGUGGGGUCUGUGGACUUCCUUCCAGAAGGCAGAAGGUUAUGGGUAGGCUGCCAAGGCAAAUUCAGUGUACCUAGACUAGUCUGUGUGCCUUAGAACAUAAUCAAUUCUCAAUGAUCUGAUUCUUAACAGUGAGUAAUAGAGCAGAAAUGAAAAGUGCUUUGCUGACCUAAAUUUCCCCUUACUUGCCCUUUCCACCAUUUUCACAUCCAGCCUGCCAUUCAUACCAAAGCACUUAGCCAUUUCUCCGUUCCAGGAGUUGUGAAGCUGAAAGACAGGAAGGCAGCUCAGUCGGAAGAUCGGCUAUUUACCUUCAGCAUGUGAGAGGGGUGGGAAGAACUCUGGCCUCGGAACAAGAUGGUGAGGCCAAACAACUUCGCUGAGUUAGUCUUUGCAAGGAACAAACAUGAAGACAGAACAAUAAUCAUUUCCAAGUUCAAGAUACUACAAGGAAAGGAAAGUGCAAAGGAAAACUGCAUUGAUUAAACAGAUUUUCUAAAAACAAUUUUGGGAAAAUUCGUUAUUAAAGACAGAGAACUGUCUUCAACUUCCUUCCAUUUAUAACGAAUCCUUUGUUUAACAGAGUCUACAACUGGGGUGGGCCCUGACCAGUAAGUAGAUCAAAAUGCACUAGGCUUCUCCAUGCCCAGAGCUGGUCAGGAGGCAAUGCAGGCCAGGAGUGCAAGGCCUGUAGGACUGAACACAGCUCUUACUGCUGCAUUGUCAACUUCAAGUCUUUGCUCAGAAGAGGCUGGGUGGGGUCUCUGCUCCAAAGUCAACCUUCACCAUUUUUAACAUGAUUUUUAAAAAAAAUCCACCAAGUCAAGGUUUUAA